This 90-nucleotide ribosomal RNA is filed under the name Sphingomonas carotinifaciens. Lineage: Bacteria; Pseudomonadati; Pseudomonadota; Alphaproteobacteria; Sphingomonadales; Sphingomonadaceae. The record is from RNAcentral.
CACCCGAUCCCAUCCCGAACUCGGCCGUGAAACCCGACCGCGCCAAUGGUACUAUCGCUCAAGCGAUGGAAGAGUAGGUCGUCGCCAGGC